AAUGAACGCUGGCGGCAUGCCUAACACAUGCAAGUCGAACGAUGCCUUCGGGCAUAGUGGCGCACGGGUGCGUAACGCGUGGGAAUCUGCCCUUGGCUUCGGAAUAACAGUUAGAAAUGACUGCUAAUACCGGAUGAUGUCCCCCUGAGAGAUCUUGGGGACCAAAGAUUUAUCGGCCAGGGAUGAGCCCGCGUAGGAUUAGGUAGUUGGUGGGGUAAAGGCCUACCAAGCCGACGAUCCUUAGCUGGUCUGAGAGGAUGAUCAGCCACACUGGGACUGAGACACGGCCCAGACUCCUACGGGAGGCAGCAGUGGGGAAUAUUGGACAAUGGGGGGAACCCUGAUCCAGCAAUGCCGCGUGAGUGAUGAAGGCCUUAGGGUUGUAAAGCUCUUUUACCAGGGAUGAUAAUGACAGUACCUGGAGAAUAAGCUCCGGCUAACUCCGUG
RNAcentral lists this ribosomal RNA (447 nucleotides) under uncultured bacterium. Its description in RNAcentral is "partial 16S ribosomal RNA". It matches the Rfam family "Bacterial small subunit ribosomal RNA", at positions 29 to 507 of the family's 1533-position model. The record is from RNAcentral.